GGCCGCGGUAUCCUAACCGUGCAAAGGUAGCAUAAUCACUUGUCCUCUAAAUAAGGACUAGUAUGAACGGUCAAAUGAGGACUUAACUGUCUCUUACAUUCAACCAAUAAAACUGAUCUCUCAGUUAAAAAGCUGAGAUAUUAACAUAAGACGAGAAGACCCUGUGGAGCUUCAAACCAAACCCAACCCUAAUGAGGCUCGGUUUUUAGUUGGGGCGACUUCGGAGUAUAAAAAAACCUCCGACACAAACCAUAUUAAGACCAACACGUCAACAUAUUUUUCUCCUGACCCGGUAUUUACCAAAAUAUCCGAUCAAUGAACCAAGUUACCCCAGGGAUAACAGCGCCAUCCCCUUCUAGAGUCCUUAUCGACAAGGGGGUUUACGACCUCGAUGUUGGAUCAGGACACCCAAAUAGUGCAGCCGCUAUUAAAGUU
This 435-nucleotide ribosomal RNA is filed under the name Pedioplanis inornata. RNAcentral describes it as "partial 16S ribosomal RNA". It matches the Rfam family "Bacterial large subunit ribosomal RNA", at positions 1929 to 2572 of the family's 2925-position model. The record is from RNAcentral. Lineage: Eukaryota; Metazoa; Chordata; Lepidosauria; Squamata; Lacertidae.